Long non-coding RNA from Bacillus rossius redtenbacheri, 1530 nucleotides. RefSeq lists it as uncharacterized. The record is from RefSeq and is a predicted model, not a curated record. The transcript is spliced from 2 exons. NCBI's taxonomy places the organism in Eukaryota, Metazoa, Arthropoda, Insecta, Phasmatodea, Bacillidae.
GCGGGUAAAGACAUAUUGGGCUUAAGGGAGGGCAUAGCCCUGGUCAAAGUCAGGUAUGAAACACUAAAUUUAAAAAAUAUAUAUAUAUAUUUUAAAACUUAUUUGUUGGAACAUUAUACAAAUAUCUGUGUAAGUGUUGAGUAUGUUUUUAAGGUUUUUUAACAUAAUUUUUUCAUCAAAAUACUUUUAUUUGGUUUGAAAAAAUUUGAGUGGUAGUAUUGGAUGGAUGGAAAAUAACGUCAUAUUCCUCCAUCAAAUAGAGUAGGCCCGAUAACUUCAAACAUGUUUUAAAUACUGUCACACUGUCAAAGUUUAUUAUUAGAAUAAGCCAGUGCAAUAUUUUUUUUUUUUAAUUUUAAAAAUAUUUUUAAAAUAAUAUAAUGCAUCACAUUUGUGGAUGGAAUAUUUUAACCUGUUUUGAUUUUUAUGUUUUUAUCAACACUAAAAAAUAUUUAAUUUACGUAACUAUCUGUACAUAAUAAAAUUAAUAAACUGUAAUAUUUCAAAGGUAUACAAAGAUUAACUGCUUUUUCCAGUGAAAUUAUUUUACAAAUGACAUUCAUACCAAAAAUAUUUUACCUUCUCAACAUCUUAAUCUUCCACGUGUCUUUCCCCAUUUUAAAGAUUCAAUGAGGAAAUAUCUGCCCUUGCCAUUUUCGCCGGGCAGGGUUCUGAUUGCGCGAUUACGUACAGCAUCCUUCGAACCGGUCCCAUAUACAAAAUAUUAUGAUUGGAACUAAAGCCAUUCAACUUUAUUAAAUGUACAUGUACUAGUGAAGUUUUCGGUGUUGUCAUAGCCCCCAACUUUACUGGACAGUGUGACAGGGACUGACAAAGGACUCCUUACAAUUAAGGGGUUUACCUGGCUGAGCACAUAAGCUCUAAAAGCUUGGGUGGGCUAGGUGCAAUACUUGUUCGUGCAUUACACACCUCUUCGCCUCUGUGUGUAGCACCGAACUGGUGUGCGGUCUUCUCGUCAGAAACAUGUCUCUGUGGGACUUCAGUUGUGACCCUAAUACUGUUGUUACGUGUGCUCCCGCACUACAUACAUGAUGACAUCUACGCGGCGCCUAAGCGCGCGCCCGAUGCUCCGUGAACAGGGAUUGCUGCACGCUGUGCAUCAAACAUCGGAGCCGCUCGAAAAUGCUCGGCGGACUUCGUGUGGCUGGCUUUGAACCGGACAUCGCCUGUGCGGCGUUUCCGGUCAUGUAGGCCCAGAACAGUCUCCUAUGUUUUAUUCCUCAAGUUUCAGCGUAUAUAAGGUCCCAAAUUUGCUGAGGGGAAGAGAGGCAGCUCCAAAUCGACCACCGAGGCGGGGAGUUGCUGCCGCCCGAAGCUACACCGUCAGAACUUCGCCUGCCUGCCGUCACGCUGCCCGAAGAAACUCCGACCAGCUUGUUACUGUCCAAUUCUGUUAAGAGUGAAGCCUCCGAAAACGAAUGUACUUCGAUACAUUAUCCUAUGUUGAAUAUUUGUAUAUAUGUCAUUAAGAGUACGUGUUGGUUAUGAAUAAAAGUGUAACACAUUGCA